RNAcentral lists this ribosomal RNA (326 nucleotides) under uncultured eukaryote. Its description in RNAcentral is "partial 18S ribosomal RNA". It matches the Rfam family "Eukaryotic small subunit ribosomal RNA", at positions 1470 to 1796 of the family's 1831-position model. The record is from RNAcentral.
CCCUUAGAUGUUCUGGGCUGCACGCGCGCUACACUGAUGCGUUCAACGAGUUUAUGACCUUGCCCGAUAGGGUUGGGUAAUCUUUUUAAAUCGCAUCGUGAUGGGGAUAGAUUAUUGCAAUUAUUAAUCUUCAACGAGGAAUUCCUAGUAAGCGCGAGUCAUCAGCUCGUGCUGAUUACGUCCCUGCCCUUUGUACACACCGCCCGUCGCUCCUACCGAUUGAGCGAUCCGGUGAAUAAUUCGGACUGCAGCAGUGUUCAGUUCCUGAACGUUGCAGCGGAAAGUUUAGUGAACCUUAUCACUUAGAGGAAGGAGAANUCGUANCA